GCUACCAUGCAAGUCGAGGGGUAACAUGGUCUUCGGACUGAUGACGACCGGCAAACGGGUGCGGAACACGUACGCAACAUACCCUUUACAGGAGGAUAGCCCGGAGAAAUCCGGAUUAAUACUCCAUAGUAUAUUUGAAAGGCAUCUUUUGGAUAUUAAAGAUUUAUUGGUAAAGGAUUGGCGUGCGUCCCAUUAGAUAGUUGGCGGGGUAACGGCCCACCAAGUCGGCGAUGGGUAGCUGGUGUGAGAGCACGACCAGCCACACGGGCACUGAGACACGGGCCCGACUCCUACGGGAGGCAGCAGUGAGGAAUAUUGGUCAAUGGACGGAAGUCUGAACCAGCCAUGCCGCGUGGAGGAUUAAGGCCUUCUGGGUUGUAAACUUCUUUUAUAGGGGAAGAAAAAUACGGUUUCUACUGUAUCCGACGGUACCCUACGAAUAAGCACCGGCUAACUCCGUGCCAGCAGCCGCGGUAAUACGGAGGGUGCAAGCGUUAUCCGGAUUUACUGGGUUUAAAGGGUGUGUAGGCGGGCAGGUAAGUCAGAGGUGAAAUCUCCGGGCUCAACCCGGAAACUGCCUUUGAUACUAUUUGUCUUGAAUUUCGUUGAGGUUGGCGGAAUAUAUCAUGUAGCGGUGAAAUGCAUAGAUAUGAUAUAGAACACCAAUUGCGAAGGCAGCUGGCUGAACGAACAUUGACGCUGAGGCACGAAAGCGUGGGUAGCGAACAGGAUUAGAUACCCUGGUAGUCCACGCCCUAAACGAUGAUUACUCGACAUACGCGAUACACAGUGUGUGUCUGAGCGAAAGCAUUAAGUAAUCCACCUGGGAAGUACGUCCGCAAG
This 843-nucleotide ribosomal RNA is filed under the name uncultured bacterium. Its description in RNAcentral is "bacterial SSU rRNA". It matches the Rfam family "Bacterial small subunit ribosomal RNA", at positions 48 to 892 of the family's 1533-position model. The record is from RNAcentral.